RNAcentral lists this ribosomal RNA (423 nucleotides) under uncultured Clostridium sp. RNAcentral's name for it is "bacterial SSU rRNA". It matches the Rfam family "Bacterial small subunit ribosomal RNA", at positions 355 to 792 of the family's 1533-position model. The record is from RNAcentral. Lineage: Bacteria; Bacillati; Bacillota; Clostridia; Eubacteriales; Clostridiaceae.
UGGGGAAUAUUGGGCAAUGGGCGAAAGCCUGACCCAGCAACGCCGCGUGAAGGAAGAAGGUCUUCGGAUUGUAAACUUCUUUUAUGAGGGACGAAGGACGUGACGGUACCUCAUGAAUAAGCCACGGCUAACUACGUGCCAGCAGCCGCGGUAAUACGUAGGGGGCGAGCGUUGUCCGGAAUUACUGGGCGUAAAGGGAGCGUAGGCGGUUAAUUAAGUUAGAUGUGAAAUACCCGGGCUUAACUUGGGGGGUGCAUCUAAUACUGGUAAACUAGAGUACAGGAGAGGAAAGCGGAAUUCCUAGUGUAGCGGUGAAAUGCAUAGAUAUUAGGAGGAACAUCGGUGGCGAAGGCGGCUUUCUGGACUGACACUGACGCUGAGGCUCGAAAGCGUGGGGAGCAAACAGGAUUAGAUACCCUGGUA